Molecule: ribosomal RNA, 459 nt
Filed under: uncultured Sterolibacterium sp.
Lineage: Bacteria; Pseudomonadati; Pseudomonadota; Betaproteobacteria; Nitrosomonadales; Sterolibacteriaceae
Description: bacterial SSU rRNA
Rfam family: Bacterial small subunit ribosomal RNA
Source: RNAcentral
GCACAAGCGGUGAUGAUUGUGGUUUAAUUCGAUGCAACGCGAAAACCUUACCCACCUUUGACAUGGCAGGAAUCCCGAAGAGAUUUGGGAGUGCUCGAAAGAGAACCUGCACACAGGUGCUGCAUGGCUGUCGUCAGCUCGUGUCGUGAGAUGCUGGGUUAAGUCCCGCAACGAGCGCAACCCUUGUCACUAGUUGCCAUCAUUUGGUUGGGCACUCUAGUGAGACUGCCGGUGACAAACCGGAGGAAGGUGGGGAUGACGUCAAGUCCUCAUGGCCCUUAUGGGUAGGGCUUCACACGUCAUACAAUGGUCGGUACAGAGGGUUGCCAAGCCGCGAGGUGGAGCCAAUCCCUUAAAGCCGAUCGUAGUCCGGAUCGUAGUCUGCAACUCGACUACGUGAAGUCGGAAUCGCUAGUAAUCGCAGAUCAGCAUGCUGCGGUGAAUACGUUCCCGGGUCUU